Molecule: ribosomal RNA, 65 nt
Filed under: Paloue guianensis
Lineage: Eukaryota; Viridiplantae; Streptophyta; Magnoliopsida; Fabales; Fabaceae
Description: partial 26S ribosomal RNA
Rfam family: Eukaryotic large subunit ribosomal RNA
Source: RNAcentral
GAAGCGACCCCAGCUCAGGCGGGGCCACCCGCUGAGUUUAAGCAUAUCAAUAAGCGGAGGAAAAG